AAGUAGAGUUUGAUCCUAGCUCAGGAUGAACGCUGGCGGCGUGGAUAAGGCAUGCAAGUCGAACGGACUUUAUUUUUCCGAUGAUGAGAUUACAUCAAGUCAAAGGUCGUUUAAAGUUAGUGGCGAACGAGGUAGUAAUACAUAGGAACUUCCCCCUAAGUCGUGAACAACUCACCGAAAGGUGAGCUAAUACACGAUAGUCUCUCCGGAGUAAAGUUUUUCGCUUAGGGAAAGGCCUGUGAAGUAUCAGCUAGUUGGCGGUGUAAAGGACCACCAAGGCUAUGACGCUUAGGGGAGCUGAGAGGCUGACCCCCACCGAUGGGACUGAGACACGGCCCAUACACCUACGGGUGGCUGCAGUCGAGAAUCUUCCGCAAUGGACGAAAGUCUGACGGAGCGACGCCGCGUGAUUGAUGAAGCUCUUCGGAGUGUAAAGAUCUUUUAUGAGGGAAGAAGUUUAUUGACGGUACCUCAUGAAUAAGGGGCUCCUAAUCUCGUGCCAGCAGGAGCGGUAAUACGAGAGCCCCGAGCGUUAUCCGGAAUUAUUGGGCGUAAAGGGUGCGUAGGUGGCACUGUUAGUCGUUUGUCAAAUCCUUGGGCUUAACCUAAGAACCGCGAACGAAACGGCAGAGCUAGAGAGUGUGAGGGGUAUAGGGAACUAAUAGUGUAGGGGUGAAAUCCGUUGAUAUUAUUGGGAACACCAAAAGCGAAGGCACUAUACUGGCACAUAUCUGACACUCAAGCACGAAAGCGUGGGUAGCGAAUGGGAUUAGAUACCCCAGUAGUCCACGCCCUAAACGAUGAUCUCUAGUCUUUCGGAGUAUCGACCCUCUGAGAGACGUAGCUAACGCGUUAAGAGAUCCGCCUGGGAAAUACGGCCGCAAGGCUAAAACUCAAAGGAAUAGACGGGGACUUGCACAAGUAGUGGAUUAUGUGGUUUAAUUCGACGAUAAACGAAGAACCUUACCAAGGUUAGAAAUCAACGUGAAAGCCCUGAGAAACCAGGGCCCUCGCAAGACUAGUUGACAGGUGAUGCAUGGCCGUCGUCAGUUCGUGGUUUGAAUUGUUCCCUUAAGUGGGGUAACGAACGCAACCCUCGUCGUGUGUUAUAAGUGUCACACGAGACUGCCCCGACCCAAGCGGAUAAAAGGGAGGAAGGGGAGGAUGACGCCAGGUCAGCAUGUCCCUUGAUACCUUGGGCUACACACAUAAUACAAUCGCAAUUACAACGGGCAGCGACGGGGUAACCCUGAGCGAAUCCUAUAAAAAUUGCGCCAGUUCGGAUUGGGGGCUGCAACUCGACCCCAUGAAGUUGGAAUUACUAGUAAUCGCGGGUCAGACAUACCGCGGUGAAUACGUUCUCAAGUCUUGUACUCACCGCCCGUCAAUUCAAGGGAGCCGGGAAUACUCGAAAUCUCUCCAGAAGGAGGGCCUACAGUAAGCUCGGUGACAGGGAAUAAGUCGUAACAAGGCACGGGUAGCGGAAGCUGUUCGUGGAAUAA
Molecule: ribosomal RNA, 1502 nt
Filed under: Candidatus Nomurabacteria bacterium GW2011_GWC1_37_9
Lineage: Bacteria; Candidatus Nomuraibacteriota
Also listed under: 2 other names
Description: bacterial SSU rRNA
Rfam family: Bacterial small subunit ribosomal RNA
Source: RNAcentral